Molecule: small RNA, 639 nt
Filed under: Pongo abelii (Sumatran orangutan)
Lineage: Eukaryota; Metazoa; Chordata; Mammalia; Primates; Hominidae
Description: retained intron
Source: RNAcentral
GAGCCGUUUGGGGGACGCAGUCCCGUGAAAGAUGGCCCUUCCCUCCCGCUGCCGCCGCCGGAGGAGGCACCCUUAAAAGGGCUUGUUUGGGAAUCUUCUCGCUGUCUCUAGAAUCUGUUCUCUGGACUCUAAGGUCUAGAGUCCUCCUCUACCACUUAACUUUUUUCUCUUUCCAGGGCCAAGGGCCCCAUCUCCCACUAAGCCUCUGCGGAGGUCCCAGCGGAAAUCAGGCUCUGAACUCCCAAGCAUCCUCCCUGAAAUCUGGCCGAAGGUGAGCCCCAGAUUUCUCACUUCCUCCCCUUGUGGCCCCUCACCUAAUUUGAGCUCACGUUCAUCCCUCUUCUCCAGACACCCAGUGCGGCUGCAAUCAGAAAGCCCAUCGUCUUAAAGAGGAUCGUGGCCCAUGCUGUAGAGGUCCCAGCUGUCCAAUCACCUCGCAGGAGCCCUAGGUCUCUUAGGGGCAGACAAAGAGCCCACUCCAAGCUGGCCAACAAGCCAGUGGUGCAGCCUGUUGAGGAGCAAGAACCCAAGGGCCCUCAGGCUUCCAAGGAGCGGAACUUGGAGCCACCUUCCUCAGAACAACUGGAACCCACCGUCACAUUCCUGUUUACACUCCUGAACACCUCUGAGCCCACGGAG